Molecule: ribosomal RNA, 442 nt
Filed under: uncultured bacterium
Lineage: Bacteria
Description: partial 16S ribosomal RNA
Rfam family: Bacterial small subunit ribosomal RNA
Source: RNAcentral
CCUACGGGUGGCAGCCGUGGGGAAUAUUGGGCAAUGGGCGCAAGCCUGACCCAGCAACGCCGCGUGAAGGAAGAAGACUUUCGGGUUGUAAACUUCUUUUACGAGGGAAGAGCAGAAGACGGUACCUCUUGAAUAAGCCUCGGCUAACUACGUGCCAGCAGCCGCGGUAAUACGUAGGUGGCAAGCGUUGUCCGGAUUUACUGGGUGUAAAAGGCGUGCAGGCGGGAAGACAAGGAAGAUGUGAAAGCCCGCGGCUCAACCGCGGUACUGCAUUUGAAACGGUUUUUCUUGAGUACCGGAGAGGUCAUCGGAAUUCCUUGUGUAGCGGUGAAAUGCGUAGAUAUAAGGAAGAACACCAGUGGCGAAGGCGGAUGACUGGACUGAAACUGACGGUGAGGCGCGAAAGCGUGGGGAGCAAACAGGAUUAGAUACCCGGGUAGUC